AGGCGCGUAGCUCAGUUGGUUAGAGCGUUGCCUUGACAUGGCAAAGGUCGGUGGUUCGACUCCACUCGCGCCUACCA
Molecule: transfer RNA, 77 nt
Filed under: Candidatus Thiodiazotropha endolucinida
Lineage: Bacteria; Pseudomonadati; Pseudomonadota; Gammaproteobacteria; Chromatiales; Sedimenticolaceae
Also listed under: 2 other names
Description: tRNA-Val
Rfam family: tRNA
About the family: Transfer RNA (tRNA) molecules are approximately 80 nucleotides in length. Their secondary structure includes four short double-helical elements and three loops (D, anti-codon, and T loops).
Source: RNAcentral